Molecule: ribosomal RNA, 497 nt
Filed under: uncultured bacterium
Lineage: Bacteria
Description: partial 16S ribosomal RNA
Rfam family: Bacterial small subunit ribosomal RNA
Source: RNAcentral
GAUGAACGCUGGCGGCGUGCCUAAUACAUGCAAGUCGAGCGAACAGAUGAGGAGCUUGCUCCUCUGACGUUAGCGGCGGACGGGUGAGUAACACGUGGAUAACCUACCUAUAAGACUGGGAUAACUUCGGGAAACCGGAGCUAAUACCGGAUAAUAUAUUGAACCGCAUGGUUCAAUAGUGAAAGACGGUUUUGCUGUCACUUAUAGAUGGAUCCGCGCCGCAUUAGCUAGUUGGUAAGGUAACGGCUUACCAAGGCAACGAUGCGUAGCCGACCUGAGAGGGUGAUCGGCCACACUGGAACUGAGACACGGUCCAGACUCCUACGGGAGGCAGCAGUAGGGAAUCGUCCGCAAUGGGCGAAAGCUUGACGGAGCAACGCCGCGUGAGUGAUGAAGGUCUUCGGAUCGUAAAACUCUGUUAUUAGGGAAGAACAAAUGUGUAAGUAACUAUGCACGUCUUGACGGUACCUAAUCAGAAAGCCACGGCUAACUACGUG